GUACGACCGCAAGGUUGAAACUCAAAGGAAUUGACGGGGGCCCGCACAAGCGGUGGAGCAUGUGGUUUAAUUCGAAGCAACGCGAAGAACCUUACCAGGUCUUGACAUCUUUUGAUCACCUGAGAGAUCAGGUUUCCCCUUCGGGGGCAAAAUGACAGGUGGUGCAUGGUUGUCGUCAGCUCGUGUCGUGAGAUGUUGGGUUAAGUCCCGCAACGAGCGCAACCCUUAUGACUAGUUGCCAGCAUUUAGUUGGGCACUCUAGUAAGACUGCCGGUGACAAACCGGAGGAAGGUGGGGAUGACGUCAAAUCAUCAUGCCCCUUAUGACCUGGGCUACACACGUGCUACAAUGGAUGGUACAACGAGUUGCGAGACCGCGAGGUCAAGCUAAUCUCUUAAAGCCAUUCUCAGUUCGGACUGUAGGCUGCAACUCGCCUACACGAAGUCGGAAUCGCUAGUAAUCGCGGAUCAGCACGCCGCGGUGAAUACGUUCCCGGGCCUUGUACACACCGCCCGUCACACCAUGAG
Molecule: ribosomal RNA, 527 nt
Filed under: Lacticaseibacillus paracasei
Lineage: Bacteria; Bacillati; Bacillota; Bacilli; Lactobacillales; Lactobacillaceae
Description: bacterial SSU rRNA
Rfam family: Bacterial small subunit ribosomal RNA
Source: RNAcentral